This is a long non-coding RNA of Pseudoliparis swirei, 1635 nucleotides long. RefSeq lists it as uncharacterized. The transcript is spliced from 3 exons. NCBI's taxonomy places the organism in Eukaryota, Metazoa, Chordata, Actinopteri, Perciformes, Liparidae. The record is from RefSeq and is a predicted model, not a curated record.
CGUAACUUGACAGUGAUCUCCGGUGCUUCUCUGUUGGUUCACGGGCAGCGCCCGGUGUUUAUGCUUGACUGUUCACGUCACUCGCAUCUCUGGCAUUUCCUUUGUUUUUGUGCACGUCAAAUAAAAAACACGUUAUUGUUAGACCCUGUAUGGAAAAUCCUAGAUAGAUAGUGUUUUACGGUGGUGUUAUUGAGACUUGCAUGUAAGCUGCAUAAAUGAAAUGUUUAGAUAUGCCACCAACAAAUUAUGUAUUGUCAACUAUGUUUGUCAGUGCAUUAUACCAGCGGUUCCUAACCUGGGUGUCAGGACCUCACAGGCUGUUGCAUGGGAAUCACAACGUGUUGUGGGAAGAGUCCUUAAGUAAGAAAUAUCAAAGAACAGCACAGAAAAAUCUUGUUUGAAGAAAUAAAAUGAAAUAAUUGACAGUAAUUGUACUAUGGCAUAGAAUUUGCAUCAACCUAUCUCCACUAAAAAAAAGUAUUUCUGAAAAGGUGGCCAACCAGUAACAUAUUUUUGGACUCAUUUAAAGGUUAAGAACCACACAUUAUAUAUUUUUAGAAUGAGAAAAAUUGUGCAAAGAAUGUGUUUGUAAUAGCAUUCAAAACUCAGUCUUUCAUUUUCUUCUCUUCUCUGAUGAAUAGGGAAACAGUUACCGGUCCUUUUUUAGUCAGUGUUCUUUCAAAUCAAAUAUUUACUUUUAGUUUUACAUCGCAUACAAAAAUGGAAAACAUGCCAUUUUAAAGCAGUGUUAGCUGUAGUCCAUGAUCAUGUUUUGGUAAGCUAAUAGUAAUUAACUUGUUAUAUUAAUUAGUAAGUAAUAGUAAUUCUGUCUUUAAAGUUUUAGAUGUUGGUCUAAACUUAACCAAUCAGAACCUGCCCAACCGAUUCUAUGCUGAGCUUGACCGCCAUCUUCCACGACUAAUGACUUUAUUUAGGCAGAAGGCAUCAAGAACUGGAAAGACAGCAGAUGCUCUGGCUGAAAUUUUAAAAAUCCACGAUGAACAGGAAAACCAGGACAUACACACCAAACGUACGACUGUUCUCCACGGCCUCCCUGUCUAUCUGUGCGAGGAUGUAUCUGGAUUCUUCAGAACCUGCACAGACGAGUCUGAUGAGCCAGAGCUUGAUGGGGUUGCAGUGGGCCUCCUUACUGUCACCAGUGACAAUAACACAAGUGCAGUUCACUACCACCCUGUGAAAAUCUCUGUGAUUAUUGAAAGUGAUGUCAUGGUUAGUCUCACCAGACUUGGCGAUGCCUUCCUGGUAGUCUUUGGAUUCAUGUAUGCACUACACCUCAGCUACCCCAAAGCACUUACCAAGACUUUUGAGUUCAUUCAAAAGAUCUUACUUGGCCUAGAAAGUGGCAAACUGUCACCGAAGUUGCAGACCCUCAAGAAUGUUUUGAUGACCUAGAAACGGAAGGCUGCAGCGGUAUACCAUUAUAAAAGGUUCAACAUGUUCAAGUUAAAAGGUCUAUGAUCACGUCUUGCAGCUUUGCAAUGCAGCGCCAUCAUGUGAUCUGUUCAUGUAUGUUAUUGUGUUGUGUAUUAUGGAGGAAAAAAAGGCAGAGGUCAUGGUUCUCGGGUUGUUAUCUUUGUGCAGAUAAAAAAUAAAAAAAUUCUUUUAUGCCUCAUG